UGGGGAAUAUUGCACAAUGGGCGCAAGCCUGAUGCAGCCAUGCCGCGUGUGUGAAGAAGGCCUUCGGGUUGUAAAGCACUUUCAGCGAGGAGGAAGGUGGUGAACUUAAUACGUUCAUCAAUUGACGUUACUCGCAGAAGAAGCACCGGCUAACUCCGUGCCAGCAGCCGCGGUAAUACGGAGGGUGCAAGCGUUAAUCGGAAUUACUGGGCGUAAAGCGCACGCAGGCGGUUUGUUAAGUCAGAUGUGAAAUCCCCGGGCUCAACCUGGGAACUGCAUUUGAAAACUGGCAAGCUAGAGUCUCGUAGAGGGGGGUAGAAUUCCAGGUGUAGCGGUGAAAUGCGUAGAGAUCUGGAGGAAUACCGGUGGCGAAGGCGGCCCCCUGGACGAAGACUGACGCUCAGGUGCGAAAAGCGUGGGGAGCAAAACAGGAUUAGAUACCCUGGUAGUCCACGCUGUAAAACGAUGUCGAUUUUGGAGGUUGUGCCCUUGAGGCGUGGCCUCCGGAGCUAACGCGUUAAA
RNAcentral lists this ribosomal RNA (522 nucleotides) under uncultured bacterium. RNAcentral's name for it is "partial 16S ribosomal RNA". It matches the Rfam family "Bacterial small subunit ribosomal RNA", at positions 355 to 864 of the family's 1533-position model. The record is from RNAcentral.